This 617-nucleotide long non-coding RNA is filed under the name Anser brachyrhynchus (Pink-footed goose). RNAcentral describes it as "lncRNA (ENSABRG00000007424.1)". Lineage: Eukaryota; Metazoa; Chordata; Aves; Anseriformes; Anatidae. The record is from RNAcentral.
GUGGAAAGUUGAGGAGCUGUUCUGCCAAGCUAUGGGAGAUUCCUACAAAAAAGCAAGGAAAAAUAUCUUUAAUCUUUUUUGAGAAAGAGAUGCUGAAGAAACAUAUCUCCAGAGCUGAUGUCAGUUGUAAAUAAGAGGCACAGCACCAAGAACUAGCAUGUGUUAUCUGAUGUGGGAGUGUUUUCUAGAAGGGUGGGAGGGGAGAAGAAAAACCAGGAAUAAGGGAAUUAUUUAUUGCUUUAUGGGAAGAGAAGUCUUCCAAACUUUCAGAUGUACCCAUAGAAAGGGUCCCUUCUACCCAUCUCUUGAGAAAGCAGCACAUUAUGGCCAUCUGGCAUCUCACCACCAUGACACUGGACCUUCCAGAGCUGAGCCAUCCCAAAGCUCAAAUCUCCAUGGGACUCUUUGGCUGAUACGGUGAACAUUCGGGGGCUGCUGGAUGAUCCUUCCUUAACAGGUCCUCUAGGUGUUUGUCCUGUUUCAUUGAGCAGAUAGGGCCAGGCACAAAGAUUUGAUUCUCCCCUGUGAGAGCACCUGAGUGACUGCACCGUGGGGACCCAGCUUGCAGCCAGCAACACCACAGCUGCCUUCUGGGGAAGGAGCAGCAUGCCCCAGGG